UACGGAGGGUGCAAGCGUUAUCCGGAUUCACUGGGUUUAAAGGGUGCGUAGGUGGGUCUGUAAGUCAGUGGUGAAAUCUCCGGGCUUAACUCGGAAACUGCCAUUGAUACUAUAGGUCUUGAAUUAUCUGGAGGUAAGCGGAAUAUGUCAUGUAGCGGUGAAAUGCUUAGAUAUGACAUAGAACACCAAUUGCGAAGGCAGCUUACUACGGAUACAUUGACACUGAGGCACGAAAGCGUGGGGAUCAAACAGG
This 253-nucleotide ribosomal RNA is filed under the name uncultured bacterium. RNAcentral's name for it is "partial 16S ribosomal RNA". It matches the Rfam family "Bacterial small subunit ribosomal RNA", at positions 524 to 776 of the family's 1533-position model. The record is from RNAcentral.